GUGCCAGCCGCCGCGGUAAGACGGAGGUCCCGAGCGUUGUUCGGAAUUAUUGGGCUUAAAGCGCGUGUAGGCGGAGUCGUAAGUACCUUGUGAAAUCCCCGGACUCAAUCCGGGAACUGCUCGGUAUACUGCGAUUCUCGAGGCAGGUAGAGGUCACUGGAACCUUAGGUGGAGCGGUGAAAUGCGUAGAUAUCUAAGGGAACGCCUGUGGCGAAAGCGGGUGACUGGGCCUGUCCUGACGCUGAGACGCGAAAGCGUAGGGAGCAAACGGGAUUAGAUACCCCUGUAGUCC
RNAcentral lists this ribosomal RNA (292 nucleotides) under uncultured bacterium. Its description in RNAcentral is "partial 16S ribosomal RNA". It matches the Rfam family "Bacterial small subunit ribosomal RNA", at positions 505 to 796 of the family's 1533-position model. The record is from RNAcentral.